GGCCAGACUCCUACGGGAGGCAGCAGUGAGGAAUAUUGGUCAAUGGACGAGAGUCUGAACCAGCCAAGUAGCGUGAAGGAUGACUGCCCUAUGGGUUGUAAACUUCUUUUAUAAAGGAAUAAAACGAGGCACGUGUGCCUUUUUGCAUGUACUUUAUGAAUAAGGAUCGGCUAACUCCGUGCCAGCAGCCGCGGUAAUACGUAGGGGGCAAGCGUUAUCCGGAUUUACUGGGUGUAAAGGGAGCGUAGACGGCUAAUCAAGUCAGAAGUGAAAACCCAGGGCUCAACCUUGGGAGUGCUUUUGAAACUGAGUAGCUAGAGUGCAGGAGAGGUAAGCGGAAUUCCUAGUGUAGCGGUGAAAUGCGUAGAUAUUAGGAGGAACACCAGUGGCGAAGGCGGCUUACUGGACUGUAACUGACGUUGAGGCUCGAAAGCGUGGGGAGCAAACAGGAUUAGAUACCCCGGUAA
This 467-nucleotide ribosomal RNA is filed under the name uncultured bacterium. Its description in RNAcentral is "bacterial SSU rRNA". It matches the Rfam family "Bacterial small subunit ribosomal RNA", at positions 329 to 793 of the family's 1533-position model. The record is from RNAcentral.